AUCCAAUUUGGACAGGUGUCAUCA
RNAcentral lists this non-coding RNA (24 nucleotides) under Arabidopsis thaliana (thale cress). Lineage: Eukaryota; Viridiplantae; Streptophyta; Magnoliopsida; Brassicales; Brassicaceae. The record is from RNAcentral.